UACGUAGGGGGCGAGCGUUGUCCGGAAUGAUUGGGCGUAAAGGGCGCGUAGGCGGCCCGUUAAGUCUGGAGUGAAAGUCCUGCUUUCAAGGUGGGAAUUGCUUUGGAUACUGAUGGGCUGGAGUGCAGGAGAGGAAAGCGGAAUUACCGGUGUAGCGGUGAAAUGCGUAGAGAUCGGUAGGAACACCAGUGGCGAAGGCGGCUUUCUGGACUGAAACUGACGCUGAGGCGCGAAAGCGUGGGGAGCAAACAGG
Molecule: ribosomal RNA, 253 nt
Filed under: uncultured bacterium
Lineage: Bacteria
Description: partial 16S ribosomal RNA
Rfam family: Bacterial small subunit ribosomal RNA
Source: RNAcentral